RNAcentral lists this ribosomal RNA (497 nucleotides) under uncultured bacterium. RNAcentral describes it as "partial 16S ribosomal RNA". It matches the Rfam family "Bacterial small subunit ribosomal RNA", at positions 28 to 507 of the family's 1533-position model. The record is from RNAcentral.
GAUGAACGCUGGCGGCGUGCCUAAUACAUGCCAGUCGAGCGAACGGACGAGAAGCUUGCUUCUCUGAUGUUAGCGGCGGACGGGUGAGUAACACGUGGAUAACCUACCUAUAAGACUGGGAUAACUUCGGGAAACCGGAGCUAAUACCGGAUGAUAUUUUGAACCGCAUGGUUCAAAAGUGAAAGACGGUCUUGCUGUCACUUAUAGAUGGAUCCGCGCUGCAUUAGCUAGUUGGUAAGGUAACGGCUUACCAAGGCAACGAUGCAUGGCCGACCUGAGAGGGUGAUCGACCACACUGGAACUGAGACACGGUCCAGACUCCUACGGGAGGCAGCAGUAGGGAAUCUUCCGCAAUGGGCGAAAGCCUGACGGAGCAACGCCGCGUGAGUGAUGAAGGUCUUCGGAUCGUAAAACUCUGUUAUUAGGGAAGAACAUAUGUGUAAGUAACUGUGCACAUCUUGACGGUACCUAAUCAGAAAGCCACGGCUAACUACGUG